This 719-nucleotide ribosomal RNA is filed under the name uncultured Ruegeria sp. RNAcentral describes it as "bacterial SSU rRNA". It matches the Rfam family "Bacterial small subunit ribosomal RNA", at positions 51 to 820 of the family's 1533-position model. The record is from RNAcentral. Lineage: Bacteria; Pseudomonadati; Pseudomonadota; Alphaproteobacteria; Rhodobacterales; Roseobacteraceae.
ACACAUGCAGGUGAGCGCGCCUUCGGGUGAGCGGCGGACGUGUUAGUAACGCGUGGGAACGUGCCCUUCUCUACGGAAUAGCCUCUGGAAACGGAGAGUAAUACCGUAUACGCCCUUUGGGGGAAAGAUUAUCGGAGAAGGAUCGGCCCGCGUUAGAUUAGGUAGUUGGUGGGGUAACGGCCUACCAAGCCUACGAUCUAUAGCUGGUUUUAGAGGAUGAUCAGCAACACUGGGACUGAGACACGGCCCAGACUCCUACGGGAGGCAGCAGUGGGGAAUCUUAGACAAUGGGGGCAACCCUGAUCUAGCCAUGCCGCGUGAGUGAUGAAGGCCUUAGGGUCGUAAAGCUCUUUCGCCUGUGAUGAUAAUGACAGUAGCAGGUAAAGAAACCCCGGCUAACUCCGUGCCAGCAGCCGCGGUAAUACGGAGGGGGUUAGCGUUGUUCGGAAUUACUGGGCGUAAAGCGCGCGUAGGCGGAUUAGAAAGUUGGGGGUGAAAUCCCGGGGCUCAACCCCGGAACUGCCUCCAAAACUGCUAGUCUAGAGUUCGAGAGAGGUGAGUGGAAUUCCGAGUGUAGAGGUGAAAUUCGUAGAUAUUCGGAGGAACACCAGUGGCGAAGGCGGCUCACUGGCUCGAUACUGACGCUGAGGUGCGAAAGUGUGGGGAGCAAACAGGAUUAGAUACCCUGGUAGUCCACACCGUAAACGAUGAAUGCCAGU